UUGCCUGAGGCUCGACCCAUUUUCUAAACGGGCAUAUAUAUUUGCCCAAACCCUCUCAUUUUUCGAGCGGUCUUUUGGGCAUGGACGGGUGAUUCGACUUAUGAUCAGGUCUAUUUGCAACACAAAUUUAAUUAUAGAUUUAAAUAAUAAUAUAAAAACAUCUAAAAAAAUAAAACUACUAUAAUAUAAAAGUAAGAGUGUGCAUAUAUAUUAAAAGUUAUGCACCU
RNAcentral lists this long non-coding RNA (227 nucleotides) under Gossypium raimondii (Peruvian cotton). RNAcentral's name for it is "long non-coding RNA (GRAI_LNC007005)". Lineage: Eukaryota; Viridiplantae; Streptophyta; Magnoliopsida; Malvales; Malvaceae. The record is from RNAcentral.